RNAcentral lists this ribosomal RNA (400 nucleotides) under uncultured bacterium. RNAcentral's name for it is "bacterial SSU rRNA". It matches the Rfam family "Bacterial small subunit ribosomal RNA", at positions 355 to 770 of the family's 1533-position model. The record is from RNAcentral.
UGGGGAAUAUUGGACAAUGGGCGAAAGCCUGAUCCAGCCAUGCCGCGUGAGUGAUGAAGGCCUUCGGGUUGUAAAGCUCUGUCGUGGGGGAAGAAGUUCUGACGGUACCCCACAAGAAAGCACCGGCUAACUCCGUGCCAGCAGCCGCGGUAAUACGGAGGGUGCAAGCGUUGCUCGGAUUUACUGGGCGUAAAGCGCACGCAGGCGGUCUGGAAGGUCGGGUGUGAAAGCCCGGGGCUCAACCCCGGAACUGCACUCGAAACCGCCAGACUUGAGGUCGAGAGAGGAGGGUAGAAUUCCUGGUGUAGAGGUGAAAUUCGUUGAUAUCAGGAGGAAUACCGGUGGCGAAGGCGGCCCUCUGGCUCGAUUCUGACGCUCAUGUGCGAAAGCGUGGGGAGCA